UGGAUAACCUGCCCUCGGCACCGGGAUAGCCCGAGGAAACUCGGAUUAAUACCGGAUAGCCUUUCCGACUCUCGAGUCGGUUCGAAAAGGUAGCUUCGGCCUCUGGCCGAGGAUGGGUCCGCGGCGGAUUAGCUUGUUGGUGGGGUAAUGGCCUACCAAGGCGACGAUCCGUAGCUGGUCUGAGAGGACGAUCAGCCACACUGGGACUGAGACACGGCCCAGACUCCGUAGGGNGCAG
This 238-nucleotide ribosomal RNA is filed under the name uncultured bacterium. RNAcentral describes it as "partial 16S ribosomal RNA". It matches the Rfam family "Bacterial small subunit ribosomal RNA", at positions 118 to 347 of the family's 1533-position model. The record is from RNAcentral.